Calidris pugnax (ruff) is the source of this 1093-nucleotide long non-coding RNA. RefSeq lists it as uncharacterized. The record is from RefSeq and is a predicted model, not a curated record. The transcript has 2 exons. NCBI's taxonomy places the organism in Eukaryota, Metazoa, Chordata, Aves, Charadriiformes, Scolopacidae.
UUUCAUAGCAUGAUGCUCGUCAAGGAGCAGAGCGUCGCUACAGACACACCCUUCAGCAGGUUGGGCUAAGCGAAGAAUUUGUAAGGAAAAAAGGGAAAGAUGCCACUGACUUGCUGGAAGAAGAAUCUGAUGUUCACAGAGUGCCCAAGCCUGAGGGUGAAAAGGACGACUGUACUGUACAGGAAGGAGAACCUCAAGAGGAACAGAGCCGAAAGGAAAUGGCAACAUAAGAUCUAGCAGAAGAAUCCAUUGAUCGUCUCUUGAUUUUUUUUUUUAAUUCAAGAUUCUUCAGGUUAAUCCUCAGGAACUUUCUGGUUUAGGCUGAUACCUAAGAAUUGCUCUGGGGUAAGUGAGAUGUGAGUACUUGGUAAAGGAAAAAAAAGACCACCUAGUAUUUAGAGCAUGCCUUGUCCAACCCAACAAAGCCUGCAGCCCCCCUUAGUCUUCACAAGUGUUCCCCCAGUGAGCCACUUCCCUUUCUAUAACAGGCAACAAAACAAGUUAAAGAGGUUGAAGCACUAUCUUUGGAUAAAAGUAGAUAUGAAAGAUUGAAGAGGUGCAUCCUCUAGUGUCAGCUCCUUGUGUUCACACUGUAGAAGCACGCAGAAAGGGGAGAAUGCCUUUCAGGGUGCUAAACCUUGGUUUACACAUGUAUGUGGUAGAAUGCUUUUAAACAAAGUAUAAAAUCAAAGAAAAACCAAGAUUUGACCUACCUUGGGAGAACACUCAGAGGGAAGUCCUUCUCCGGUGUUAACUCUUCAUUCACUCAUUACCAGCUCUGCUCCUUCCUCCCACUAGGAAGAAGCAAUAGUCUUUCUGUAUGAAAAUAUCUCCCACAUUUCACUCUUGGAAACUGUUCUAACAUCUUAUCCAAGGUGGAUUUGGUGGAAGAAGGAUUAGGUAUUACCUGUCAGCAUGUUGCACUCAAAUGCCUGGUGCAUCUUAAAUGGUAUAUAGUUCACACAUUAGUGGUUUUCCUUUACCUGACAGUAAUAAUGAUCUCAAAAAUACAAACCCUUACCUCCUGGAAUGUUUUCUGAGAAUUAUGAUAUCAAAGCACUUUGAGAUUAAAAGAUUUUUACAUGGCUAUCAA